UGAACGCUGGCGGCGUGCUUAACACAUGCAAGUCGAGCGGCAGCGCGGGAGCAAUCCUGGCGGCGAGCGGCGAACGGGUGAGUAAUGCUUCGGAAUCUACCCAGUAGUGGGGAAUAACCAGUCGAAAGACUGGCUAACUACCGCAUACGACCUAAGGGUGAAAGCAGGGGAUCGCAAGACCUUGCGCUAUCGGAUGAGCCGAAGUCGGAUUAGCUAGUUGGUGAGGUAACGGCUCACCAAGGCGACGAUCCGUAGCUGGUCUGAGAGGACGACCAGCCACACUGGGACUGAGACACGGCCCAGACUCCUACGGGAGGCAGCAGUGGGGAAUAUUGGACAAUGGGGGCAACCCUGAUCCAGCGACGCCGCGUGUGUGAAGAAGGCCUGCGGGUUGUAAAGCACUUUUAGUGGGGAGGAAAGCACCUGACCUAAUACGUCAGGAAUUGACUUAACCCAAAGAAAAACGCACCGGCUAACUCUGUGCCAGCAG
This 490-nucleotide ribosomal RNA is filed under the name uncultured bacterium. RNAcentral describes it as "bacterial SSU rRNA". It matches the Rfam family "Bacterial small subunit ribosomal RNA", at positions 30 to 514 of the family's 1533-position model. The record is from RNAcentral.